Molecule: unclassified non-coding RNA, 384 nt
Filed under: Hevea brasiliensis (rubber tree)
Lineage: Eukaryota; Viridiplantae; Streptophyta; Magnoliopsida; Malpighiales; Euphorbiaceae
Source: RNAcentral
CAAAUCUACGUUUGUGGUUAUCCUAUUUGCUCAUUAUUUAUGGAUCAUGACAUAUAAUGAUAUGGGUAUAUGAUGAGGGUUAAAGUUGGCUGUUGGGACCAUAGGCCUUGAUAAUCAUCUUNNNNNNNNNNNNNUACGAUAGACCAGUCGAAGGUUAGGAUUUGGCUUAUGAUUAUGAAAUUAUGCAAAUAAUUUCUUGAGAAUGUUGCCUUAUUGGUGUUCAAGAUUCAGGGACAAUCCAAUUCUCAGAUAAGAGAAGUGGCUUCAUCUUCAGAAUCAGCCUUGAUUGUUUCCCUCAAAUGUCAUGGUCUUUUUGUUUUGAAAGCUGCACCAUGUCCUUGUGCAUUUUAGGAAGCAUCGCUACUAAUAACCAAGGAGAAGAAC